GGGAGUGUGGCUUAGCAGUAGAGCAUGUGCUUAGUGUGUGAAAGGCCCUGGGUUCAAUCCCCAGCACCCA
RNAcentral lists this transfer RNA (70 nucleotides) under Heterocephalus glaber (naked mole-rat). It matches the Rfam family "tRNA". From Rfam's summary of the family: Transfer RNA (tRNA) molecules are approximately 80 nucleotides in length. Their secondary structure includes four short double-helical elements and three loops (D, anti-codon, and T loops). Further hydrogen bonds mediate the characteristic L-shaped molecular structure. tRNAs have two regions of fundamental functional importance: the anti-codon, which is responsible for specific mRNA codon recognition, and the 3' end, to which the tRNAs corresponding amino acid is attached (by aminoacyl-tRNA synthetases). tRNAs cope with the degeneracy of the genetic code in two manners: having more than one tRNA (with a specific anti-codon) for a particular amino acid; and 'wobble' base-pairing, i.e. permitting non-standard base-pairing at the 3rd anti-codon position. Lineage: Eukaryota; Metazoa; Chordata; Mammalia; Rodentia; Bathyergidae. The record is from Rfam by way of RNAcentral.